RNAcentral lists this ribosomal RNA (402 nucleotides) under Triticum aestivum (bread wheat). RNAcentral describes it as "partial small subunit ribosomal RNA". Lineage: Eukaryota; Viridiplantae; Streptophyta; Magnoliopsida; Poales; Poaceae. The record is from RNAcentral.
AUGGAGCGAGCGAGAAUAGCGGCGGCAGCGAGAACUUGGCACGCGGGCGAGGGACUUGGCGCACGGAGGAGGCCAGUGGGAGGAAGAGCAUCCCAAGCGCGCUCGGGGUUGAGCCCGCAUGCGAGGUUCUCGGAGGGUGAGGCAUGGCGCACAGGGGCUCGGCUUCCUGGUGGUACUCCGGCGAAGACGACCGGAGCGGCGGUGGUCGGCGGGCGUGACGCAGUUGGAGGGCGCCACGGCGCGCGGGGAUGGGGUAGCAGAGGGGCGCGCAGGCGCUGGAGGUGUCGGGUCGGUGGUGGAUCAUGGCGGCAGGGAAACGCGAGACAUGGAGAUGUGGGAGACGUGGCCCUCGAGCUCCAGCAGCGAGACGACAAAGGAGGACGAGCGGGGGCCGGGCGGUGA